CAGCUACUAUUAACGAGUGUCUGGAAUAUGUUCCUGGCAUUUCACCUACACUCUCUCCAGUCCUUCCAAGAAACUCACAAAGCAGGGCUUUUUCUUGAACUUCUCUUCCUCACAACAGUUAAAUCAUUCAUUUAAAGAUGUCAGACAACCUCAGUGUUCUAAGCCAGUCCAUCAAUUUAACUUGUAAAAUUACCAACUGUUGCUACACACAGGCAAAGGAAUUAAACUUGGUAGCUGAUCAUUUAAUUACAUCUAUCAGUCUACUGAAGGGCUUCAAAGCAGAGUAGGUGGAAUUCAUGGUUCAAAUCAGAGUAUUAAUGGGAUCUGUUUGCACACCAAUACCUGAUCUCCUUGGCACAAAUACAGAGCUGAUUCUUAAAGCAUGUCCCCACAAUAAAGCUUUUCUUAAUCAUU
Long non-coding RNA from Mandrillus leucophaeus (drill), 414 nucleotides. RefSeq lists it as uncharacterized. The transcript is spliced from 3 exons. The record is from RefSeq and is a predicted model, not a curated record. NCBI's taxonomy places the organism in Eukaryota, Metazoa, Chordata, Mammalia, Primates, Cercopithecidae.